UAUAUAUAUAUAUAUAUAUAUAUAUAUAUAUAUGUAUACGUAUAUGAUUACUUCGUUUGCAAAACAAUCUUGAGGGUAGAAGACCCGGAUAAGUUAGCUGACGUCCGACCAAAAUCCUUGUUCAGGGAGAGAGCGGGGUGAGUGAGAGAUGGGGCGUCCGGUUUUGGAGGCGGGCGCUCCCUCGGGUUCGAAGACGGCAGCCCUAAAUUGCAUCAGUCUCGCCGAUCAGGACAUCAAGAAAUCCGUUUCUCUUCUCAAACAGGUCUUCUUUCGAUCCUCUUUGGUUUUAUCUCUCCUUUCCAAUGAGAGAUAUCGAAGGCGAGAUUUCUUUCUUUUUUAUUUGUUUCGAUUUCCAGUGGUUCGUGAGUCAAUUUCAUGUACCGCGCCCUUCUGACUUUUUUAUUGAUCAAGAAAAAGACUAUUUAUUUUCCUUUUUCUUUAUAUUUUUCUGGAGGGGUAAGGUCUGUAAAAAUCAAUCUUUUGCCGAUAUUUUUCCUUCGUCAUUGAUUAUUUUUUCCCAGUUCUUCGUUUCUUGGUGGUGAUUCCGUGUCUUUUCCCUGCUGGAUAUUACAAGAUGCUUAAAAAAUUGGAGAUUAUUUCUAAAAAGUCUUUUUUUUUAAAUUUCUUUACAAAGAAACUCCGCAUUUCUUCUAGUGGUAUUCUAGAUUCCUUGUUAUAUUUUUGUUCAUAAAAGAUUCUUUUUUUAAAGCUUUCAUUAUCAUUUUCUUGAGAGGCAGAGUUGAUACCACAUCUAUGUUCUACUGUUUCUUUCUUGAUUAUGUAUUAUUCGUUGAUAAUUUCCUGUAUUUUUUCAAGAUUUUCGUUUCUUGACAGUGGUUCUCUAAUUUUUUUUUCCCUUCUCAAUUAUCUGAGGAAACUUACGGAAGUUGGGGAUAAUUUCUUUAAAAAUUAUUUUUUUUAAAAAACUUAAAAAGAUUUUCUUGCUCCAACUUAGAGACCGACAGUUAAGAAUCUGUGUUGAGUCAGCUACAAAACUGAUGCGAUCGUGAUGUUGUCGUUAGGACAUCAUGAUUAUCAAUCAAAUUCUGACUUCAAUAAAAAUUAAAAAUACGUAGAAAGUAGUGAGUCGCAUCGAAUCCACAGAGAAGGCAGGAUUUUGAUUUGAAAUCUUUGAUUUUGCAAAAAGAAAAUAAAAUUUUGAAGAAAGUAAUUUAAGUCGGAAAAUAAAAAUUAAAAGUACGAAAAAUAAAUCGGUUACUAAGAUCUACUAACUAGAUUCUAGUAUCUAUUUGCAAUAAAAAUAAAUAAUAAAAAUUUAAAAAGUAUAAAAUAAAUCGAAUACUAAGAUCUACUAAUUAGAUCCUAGCAUCUACUUACGAAAAAUAAAAGACAGAAAUUUAAAGUGUAAGAAAAUAAAUUUUGUAUUAAUUGAAAUUGAAAUUCAAGUACAAAGAAUUUAAAAAGAACAAUAAAAUAAAAAAAUAAAACUGUAACAAAGAUCUGAAGUUGAUCAGUCCAGCCUCGUCGGGAAGAUGGUUGAUGACCUCUCCGUCUUCCGUCGUACUCCGUAGAGUGAAUUGGCUUCUCUCCUUCUUUUUUUUGGGUCCCUAAAUCUAUCUAUUUUUUUUCUAUUUUUUUCUACACUUUUUACUUAAUUUUUCUGCUCCUAAAGCUUAUUUUCGGACCUCCUAUUUAUAGAUGAAUUUUUCAUAAUUUUUUGGUAGGAAAAGGAGUACUAAAAUCCUUAGAAAUCAUUUUAAUCUCCUAGGAAUAUUCCUGGCCGUCGGAUCUGGAUUGGACCGCUCAGAUCAGCCCAAAAAUCAGCCUUUUACUCCUUAUCAGGGUCGGAUUCGAUUCUGACCGUCCGAUCUGGGUUCGGAUUGGUUCUGGGCCGUCGGAUCGUGCCAUAUAUCUUCUCUUAUAAACCGGCAACAAACAUGAACCGUCGGAUCUGGGUCGAGAUGGAUGUCAGCCGUUGGAUCGCGCAAAAGAGGCUUUCACUGCCCGUAGACCGUGCCUGUGGACCGCGUAUUAUUUUUGGUGGACCACGUCCUGGCUCUGUGAACUGAUCGACUGGUCCACCAUGCACCGGAGGCUAUUUUUAGAUUUUUUUAAGGUAUUUUGGCUCCG
RNAcentral lists this long non-coding RNA (2091 nucleotides) under Elaeis guineensis (African oil palm). RNAcentral describes it as "long non-coding RNA (EGUI_LNC082076)". Lineage: Eukaryota; Viridiplantae; Streptophyta; Magnoliopsida; Arecales; Arecaceae. The record is from RNAcentral.